UUUGCCCAAAUUAUUUCAACAAUUUAUGUCCCCACAAAAACCUGCGCAUGGAUGUUUAUAGCAGCUUUAUUCAUAACUGCCCAAACCUGGAAGUUACCAAGACGUCCUUCAGUAGGUGAAUGGAUAAAUAAACUGUGGUACAUCCAGACAACACAGUAUUAUUCAGCACUAAAAAGAAAUGAUCCAGGAAAAGACAUGGGGGAACCUUAAGUGCACAUUACUAAGUGAAAGAAGUCAAUCAGAAAAGACUACGUACUGUAUGAUUCCAACUAUAUGACAUUCUGGAAAAGGCAAAACUAUGAA
Molecule: long non-coding RNA, 303 nt
Organism: Aethalodelphis obliquidens (Pacific white-sided dolphin)
Lineage: Eukaryota; Metazoa; Chordata; Mammalia; Artiodactyla; Delphinidae
Exons: 3
Source: RefSeq, a predicted model, not a curated record